This 496-nucleotide ribosomal RNA is filed under the name uncultured bacterium. RNAcentral describes it as "partial 16S ribosomal RNA". It matches the Rfam family "Bacterial small subunit ribosomal RNA", at positions 29 to 507 of the family's 1533-position model. The record is from RNAcentral.
AUGCACGCUGGCGGCGUGCCUAAUCCAUGCCAGUCGCGCGAACAGACGAGGAGCUUGCUCCUCUGACGUUAGCGGCGGACGGGUGAGUAACACGUGGAUAACCUACCUAUAAGACUGGGAUAACUUCGGGAAACCGGAGCUAAUACCGGAUAAUAUAUUGAACCGCAUGGUUCAAUAGUGAAAGACGGUUUUGCUGUCACUUAUAGAUGGAUCCGCGCCGCAUUAGCUAGUUGGUAAGGUAACGGCUUACCAAGGCAACGAUGCGUAGCCGACCUGAGAGGGUGAUCGGCCACACUGGAACUGAGACACGGUCCAGACUCCUACGGGAGGCAGCAGUAGGGAAUCUUCCGCAAUGGGCGAAAGCCUGACGGAGCAACGCCGCGUGAGUGAUGAAGGUCUUCGGAUCGUAAUACUCUGUUAUUAGGGAAGAACAAAUGUGUAAGUAACUAUGCACGUCUUGACGGUACCUAAUCAGAAAGCCACGGCUAACUACGUG